UAAUGGAAUUAGCAAUGGACAGCC
This 24-nucleotide non-coding RNA is filed under the name Cricetulus griseus (Chinese hamster). The record is from RNAcentral. Lineage: Eukaryota; Metazoa; Chordata; Mammalia; Rodentia; Cricetidae.